GACGAACGCUGGCGGCGUGCUUAACACAUGCAAGUCGAACGGAAAGGCCCUGCUUUUGUUGGGUUCUCGAGUGGCGAACGGGUGUGUAUCACGUGAGUAACCUGCCCUUGACUUUGUGAUAACUUCAGGAAACUGGGGCUCAUACCGGAUAUGAGCUCCUUCUUCAUGGUUGUGGUUGGUAAGUUUCGGCGGUUGGGGAUGGACUCGCGGCUUAUCAGCUUGUUGGUGGGGUAGUGGCUUACCAAGGCUUUGACGGGUAGCCGGCCUGAGAGGGUGACCGGAAACAAUGGGACUGAGAGACGGCACAGACUCGUACGGGAGGCAGCAGUGGGGAAUAUUGCACAAUGGGCGGAAGCCUGAUGCAGAAACGCCGCGUGCGGGAUGACGGCCUUCGGGGUGUAAACAGAUGUCGCAUGUGACGAAGAGUGAGUGACGGUAAUGGGUAAAGAAGCACCGGCUAACUACGUG
This 468-nucleotide ribosomal RNA is filed under the name uncultured bacterium. RNAcentral describes it as "partial 16S ribosomal RNA". It matches the Rfam family "Bacterial small subunit ribosomal RNA", at positions 28 to 507 of the family's 1533-position model. The record is from RNAcentral.